AGGCGAAACGGGGAUUUCUCCCCGUCCGGCCAGGUGGCUCCUGGUCGCUGAUGAUGCCAGCCAAAU
This 66-nucleotide non-coding RNA is filed under the name Thermoactinomyces vulgaris. Lineage: Bacteria; Bacillati; Bacillota; Bacilli; Caryophanales; Thermoactinomycetaceae. RNAcentral also lists the same sequence under 1 other name. The record is from RNAcentral.